Long non-coding RNA from Lonchura striata (white-rumped munia), 215 nucleotides. RefSeq lists it as uncharacterized. NCBI's taxonomy places the organism in Eukaryota, Metazoa, Chordata, Aves, Passeriformes, Estrildidae. The record is from RefSeq and is a predicted model, not a curated record.
UGAAAGUUUAACAAGAUCUUUUCUGUAGAAGGCGUCAGCCUGCCCUCCCUCGCUCAGGACUAUCUACACGUAUCACCCAUUCAACGAGCCAGAGUCAGUGAGAGUAACAAACAGAACAUUAUUAUAGAAAAAUGAGAGCGCUGAGAAAUCAGCAACUGGAAGAUACCUCUGUAACUAAUAAAUGAAAAGAACCUUUUGAAGGCUCCAGCUGAAAA